Long non-coding RNA from Thalassophryne amazonica, 143 nucleotides. RefSeq lists it as uncharacterized. The transcript has 4 exons. NCBI's taxonomy places the organism in Eukaryota, Metazoa, Chordata, Actinopteri, Batrachoidiformes, Batrachoididae. The record is from RefSeq and is a predicted model, not a curated record.
GUAUACUUCCAGUUAUAUGCUAGUGAAGGGAAAAAAGCAGGGGGCCCAGAACAGAUCUAUGUGGAACCCCAAGCUUCAUAUCACUAAGAUUAGAAGUAGUGUGAUUGUACAAAACACAAUGAGAACAACUGGACAAGUAUGAC